UACGGAGGGGGCUAGCGUUGUUCGGAAUUACUGGGCGUAAAGGGCGCGUAGGCGGCCUUCUAAGUCGAACGUGAAAUCCCCGGGCUCAACCCGGGAACUGCGUCCGAUACUGGAAGGCUUGAAUCCGGGAGAGGGAUGCGGAAUUCCAGGUGUAGCGGUGAAAUGCGUAGAUAUCUGGAGGAACACCGGUGGCGAAGGCGGCACCCUGGACCGGCAUUGACGCUGAGGCGCGAAAGCCAGGGGAGCAAACGGG
RNAcentral lists this ribosomal RNA (253 nucleotides) under uncultured bacterium. RNAcentral describes it as "partial 16S ribosomal RNA". It matches the Rfam family "Bacterial small subunit ribosomal RNA", at positions 524 to 776 of the family's 1533-position model. The record is from RNAcentral.